Non-coding RNA from Cricetulus griseus (Chinese hamster), 902 nucleotides. The record is from RefSeq and is a predicted model, not a curated record. NCBI's taxonomy places the organism in Eukaryota, Metazoa, Chordata, Mammalia, Rodentia, Cricetidae.
AGUGGUGGCACAUACCUUUAGUCCCAGCACUUAAGAGGCAGAGGUAGGCUGUGUAGACCAGGCUGGCCUUGAACUCGGAGAUUCUACCUACUACCAGUACUGGAGCUAAAGGCAUACACUGCUCUACUUAUUUUUGAGACAACAUAUCUGUCUGAUACUAGAGCUAGUUUCAACUAAACUGGUCGUUCAGCGUGCCUCUGCCACCUGCCUUUCAGCGCCCACCCCAACUCUAGUGCUGGGAUUCAGGCCUGUACCCUCAUACCCAAAUCUUUGUUUUUGUUUUGUUUUUUCAAGACAGGGUUUCUCUGUGUACACUGGCCUGGAACUCACAGAGAGACGGUAUCACAAAAGUAAAACAUACAGAGACUGACUGGACCUGACCUUUGCCCUUCACAUAUGCAUGCACAGGUGAGCACUCCUACCUGGAAAACACAGUCUGUCUGUGUAAACAUAGGAACAAAUCUCAGACAACAGAGAUAACGCUUGGUAAAAAGGAAGAGAUCAGGGAGACACAAACAGCAGCAGAGAAAGAAACCAGGAGCACCCUCUGACCUACCCUCCCCCAAGCAUCAGAAGACACCAGGCUGGAUGAUUGUCUGAGCCACCAGGAUGUCAGUUUCAGAGGUUUGGUCCAUUAUCGUCAUGGCAGGAAGCAUGGUGGCACACAGGCAGACACGGUGCUGGAGAAAGAGCUGACCGUUCUCUAUCUGGAUUCUCAGGCAGCAGGAAGAGAGAGCGAGGGCGCUGGGACUGGACUCAAGCUUUUGAAACCCCAAAGCCCACCCACCUGCAUUGACACACUUUCUCCAUUAAGGCCCCACCUCCUAAUGCCACUCCAUAAGCACUCAAAUGUAUGAGCCUAUGGGGCCAUUCUUUUAAUAUUUAUUUUUAUUUUAUUUGCA